AAGAACCUUACCUGGGUUUGACAUAUAGGUGGUAGGGAACCGAAAGGUGACCGACUCUUCGGAGAGCCUAUACAGGUGAUGCAUGGCUGUCGUCAGCUCGUGCCGUGAGGUGUCCGGUUAAGUCCGGUAACGAGCGCAACCCUCGCUGUAUGUUAUACGUGUCAUACGGGACUGCCGGUAUAAAGCCGGAGGAAGGUGAGGAUGACGUCAAGUCAGCAUGUCCUUUAUUAUCCAGGGCUACACACACGCUACAAUGGUCAGUACAAUAGGUUGCAAAGCCGCGAGGUGGAGCCAAUCCCAAAAGCUGGCCUCAGUUCGGAUUGCAGGCUGCAACUCGCCUGCAUGAAGUUGGAGUUGCUAGUAAACGCGCGUCAGCAACAGUGCGUUGAAUACGUUCCCGGGGAUUGUACACACCGCCCGUCACGUCAUGGAAGCUGGAAACGCCCGAAGUCGGUAUCCUAACCGCAAGGAGGGAGCUGCCUAAGGCGGGUCUGGU
RNAcentral lists this ribosomal RNA (496 nucleotides) under uncultured Chloroflexota bacterium. RNAcentral's name for it is "bacterial SSU rRNA". It matches the Rfam family "Bacterial small subunit ribosomal RNA", at positions 964 to 1472 of the family's 1533-position model. Lineage: Bacteria; Bacillati; Chloroflexota. The record is from RNAcentral.